GAUGAACGCUGGCGGCGUGCCUAAUACAUGCAAGUCGAGCGAACGGACGAGAAGCUUGCUUCUCUGAUGUUAGCGGCGGACGGGUGAGUAACACGUGGAUAACCUACCUAUAAGACUGGGAUAACUUCGGGAAACCGGAGCUAAUACCGGAUAAUAUUUUGAACCGCAUGGUUCAAAAGUGAAAGACGGUCUUGCUGUCACUUAUAGAUGGAUCCGCGCUGCAUUAGCUAGUUGGUAAGGUAACGGCUUACCAAGGCAACGAUGCAUAGCCGACCUGAGAGGGUGAUCGGCCACACUGGAACUGAGACACGGUCCAGACUCCUACGGGAGGCAGCAGUAGGGAAUCUUCCGCAAUGGGCGAAAGCCUGACGGAGCAACGCCGCGUGAGUGAUGAAGGUCUUCGGAUCGUAAAACUCUGUUAUUAGGGAAGAACAUAUGUGUAAGUAACUGUGCACAUCUUGACGGUACCUAAUCAGAAAGCCACGGCUAACUACGUGCCAGCAGCCGCGGUAAUACGUAGGUGGCAAGCGUUAUCCGGAAUUAUUGGGCGUAAAGCGCGCGUAGGCGGUUUUUUAAGUCUGAUGUGAAAGCCCACGGCUCAACCGUGGAGGGUCAUUGGAAACUGGAAAACUUGAGUGCAGAAGAGGAAAGUGGAAUUCCAUGUGUAGCGGUGAAAUGCGCAGAGAUAUGGAGGAACACCAGUGGCGAAGGCGACUUUCUGGUCUGUAACUGACGCUGAUGUGCGAAAGCGUGGGGAUCAAACAGGAUUAGAUACCCUGGUAGUCCACGCCGUAAUCGAUGAGUGCUAAGUGUUAGGGGGUUUCCGCCCCUUAGUGCUGCAGCUAACGCAUUAAGCACUCCGCCUGGGGAGUACGACCGCAAGGUUGAAACUCAAAGGAAUUGACAGGGACCCGCACAAGCGGUGGAGCAUGUGGUUUAAUUCGAAGCAACGCGAAGAACCUUACCAAAUCUUGACAUCCUUUGACAACUCUAGAGAUAGAGCCUUCCCCUUCGGGGGACAAAGUGACAGGUGGUGCAUGGUUGUCGUCAGCUCGUGUCGUGAGAUGUUGGGUUAAGUCCCGCAACGAGCGCAACCCUUAAGCUUAGUUGCCAUCAUUAAGUUGGGCACUCUAAGUUGACUGCCGGUGACAAACCGGAGGAAGGUGGGGAUGACGUCAAAUCAUCAUGCCCCUUAUGAUUUGGGCUACACACGUGCUACAAUGGACAAUACAAAGGGCAGCGAAACCGCGAGGUCAAGCAAAUCCCAUAAAGUUGUUCUCAGUUCGGAUUGUAGUCUGCAACUCGACUACAUGAAGCUGGAAUCGCUAGUAAUCGUAGAUCAGCAUGCUACGGUGAAUACGUUCCCGGGUCU
This 1372-nucleotide ribosomal RNA is filed under the name uncultured bacterium. Its description in RNAcentral is "bacterial SSU rRNA". It matches the Rfam family "Bacterial small subunit ribosomal RNA", at positions 28 to 1381 of the family's 1533-position model. The record is from RNAcentral.